UACAGAGGGGGCAAGCGUUGUUCGGAAUUACUGGGCGUAAAGGGCGCGUAGGCGGCCUGCUAAGUCGAACGUGAAAUCCCUGGGCUCAACCCAGGAACUGCGUCCGAUACUGGUUGGCUUGAAUCCGGGAGAGGGACGUGGAAUUCCAGGUGUAGCGGUGAAAUGCGUAGAUAUCUGGAGGAACACCGGUGGCGAAGGCGACGUCCUGGACAAUUGCUGACGCUCAGGCACGAAAGCGUGGGGAGCAAAAGGG
RNAcentral lists this ribosomal RNA (253 nucleotides) under uncultured bacterium. Its description in RNAcentral is "partial 16S ribosomal RNA". It matches the Rfam family "Bacterial small subunit ribosomal RNA", at positions 524 to 776 of the family's 1533-position model. The record is from RNAcentral.